UUUUAAGUGACAAAAUAAUAGAUAUUUAACUUGUAGGUAUAUAUGUACAGCCUAGAGUGUGCAUGUGUAUAUUAAUUUUUUUACUUUCUAAUUUUUUUUAGAUGUCACCUAAGAAAGUAAGCAAACAAGGACAAAUAAUUCACAGCCAAGGGAGAGAGAUUAUUUCUAACGUGGCAGCUUUUAUGAAAAAAGAAGCAGAGCAAGGAAUUACUAUUCCUUUGAGAAAUGUUAUACAACGUACGUUAGCUGCCACUCGAGUAUCCCAGUCAACUUACAGAAGAGUGGUCCAAGAGUCAGAAGAUAUAGAAAAUAAACCUUACUGUUCCUUUACCAGUCCAAGGAAAAAAAGGUUAAGAAAAUCUCAGAAGAUUGGUAACAUUACUUUGACCCAAAUUAAAGAUAUAAAACAAAUAGUGUAUGAUUUCUACAUAGUUGAAAAAAGAAGACCUACUCUAAAAUUAAUACUUCAAAAGCUUCUUGAUCGGGCUAUUAUUUAAGAGCCUAUAAGUACACCAAUCUUAUCAAAAUUGCUGAAAAAAAUUUAGAUGGACCAAAACGGAAGAUAACAGAAAAGCUCUUAUGGAAUCUUACGACAUACGAUUGAAAAGGAUCAAAUAUUUAAAGCAAAUUUUUAAAUAUAAAGAGGACGGCCGUAAUAUUGUACAUACUGAUGAAAGUUACAUACAUAGCAGUCAUACAAAGGACAAAGGGUGGUUUGAUGAAAGUCGACAUGGAAUUAGAAAACCCAUUUCCAAAGGACAGAGACUUAUAAUUCUUCAUGCUGGAGGAAGAAAUGGUUUCGUAAAUAAUGGGUUACUGAUUUUUCGCUCAGGAUAAAAAGCGGAGACUAUCAUGACGACAUGAACCAUCACAACUUCAUGAAAUGGGUCGAAAAUCAGUUAAUUCCAAAUUUACUACCUAAUUCCGUCCUAGUAUUAGACAAUGCAGCUUAUCACAAUGUGCCUGUAGUCAAGAAUGUUACAUCUGGAAGUAAAAAGCAGGAAAUAGUUGACUGGCUCAAGGAACGUAAUUUUACAUUUGAUGCAAAACUCACCAAGACUUAGACUCACAAGAGUUAUAUGAAAUAGUGUCUGAAAAUAAAAAAAAAGUAUCCUGUAAAAACCAAGUUGGACGACCUAAUGGAAAAGCAUGGACACAUUGUGUUAGGUUUGCCUCCAUACCACCCAGAGCUUAAUCCGAUAGAAAAAAAUUGGGCAACUGUUAAGUACAAUGCCCAAACUUUUUCCAAAUUUUCAAAAUUGGGUGGCAAGCAGAAAUUCCACUUUUAAAUUGGCGGAUGUCGAAACUUUGACAAGGCAGAAAUUUGCGGAAAUUUCGAAUGAUGAGUGGAUAAAUAUUUGCAACCAUAUAGACAACAUAGAAAAACAAUAUUUCGAAAGUUAUCACCUUUUUGAUGAAGCAUUGGAUUCUUUAAAAUUUACAGUAAAUACAGGCUCAUCUGAUGAAGAGAUCAAAUGGUCUUCAUCAUCUCCCAUCUGAUGAAGAGAUCGAAUGGUCUUCAUCAGAUGAAUCUGAUUUAGGUUGUAAUACACUAUCUGAUGAAUAAAAAUAAUAUGUAAAAUAAUGAAAUAAAACUUUAAGCUUA
Molecule: long non-coding RNA, 1606 nt
Filed under: Anthonomus grandis grandis
Lineage: Eukaryota; Metazoa; Arthropoda; Insecta; Coleoptera; Curculionidae
Description: uncharacterized LOC126734016
Source: RNAcentral